UCUGCGAAGGCAGUAGAACUAUAUGACUACCUUGUGAUCCCAAUACAUCAAUUUGAAGAAAUCACUUUGAAUUUUGCAUUUUUAUUAGCAAGAAAUUAAAAAUCUCAAUUGCAAAUAGACGUAUUAAUCUCGACAUGUAGCGAACAUGGAGAUACAUACAUUCUGGAAUACAUCGUACUCAACAGAAAUACACCACUAUUAUAAUGAAUAGUAAUGAUGUUGCAAACUUGAUGUUCAAGUGAAAAACUUGAAUUGUAUAGACCUCAAAUUAAAUGAGAUGAUGUUGUAUCAAGUUGGAAGAUAAUUCAGCAAAAUGAAUUAAUAUUUUGCGACAGAAAAUUAAUCUCAAUCGCAAUGAGAUUAUUUUGCGAGAAAAAAAAACUCAAUCGCAAAUCAAUAUUGUUGUGCGAGAAAACUUAAUCUCAAUCGCAAAACAAUGUCAUUGUACUAAUACAACAUGUUAAAGGGAUUGCCAAAAAGCAAAAACAUUGAACAUGUCAAGCAUCAACAACCACACAUUUCUGGAAUUUUUAAACUCAGCAGAAAAUGGGCUAAAUGAUGAUCUGUAUAUAUGGCCUAACGUUACUGGUGCUAAUCAACAGCAACUAGUUAGACCAAGCUGCUAUAUCCCGAAACUGCCAGGAAUUAGCCGUAAAACAAUGACAGAGGCAAGUUUUGACCUAUUUCGGAAAUAGGUAAAGCCACAAGGCUGAAAUGCAAAACUUGCGAAGAGAUAAGAUUCCUAUCUCUUUACUCCCGAGCGCUUUCUACCCGGAGAAAUCCUGUAAUCGCCCGCCGCUGUUUUGGCACACCGGCCAGGGCCGCGAUUGUGGGAGCGCCGUCGUCUCCGUCUCCGCUGUGGGAGCCACGCCGAAGGGCGCCGCUGCCUCCGGGGCCGGGGGGCCAGUCGAGGGCCGUUGCCUCGGGCGCCGCCUGCACGGAUGCAAGCCGAGGGCUGCGGCGUCGCCUCAGUCUUCCGCGCCGCGUCGCGGUUGGGUGCCGCCUUCGCGGGCGCCGAGGCUGUUGUCUGCGGCGUGCGUAGUGGGAGAGCGUCUCGCCAUGCGCGUGUGCGCUGGGUGUCGACGCGGUCACGCUUUAGGCGGCCUCGCGCCAGAGGCCGCGCCCCCACAUCAUGGCUGGUGCGCCGGAGGGCGUUGCCGUUUCAUCGAGGUCCGCGCAGCCCCUCCGCGUUGAGAGGUCAAGGCCACGCAGACGUGCCCCGCGUUAGAGGCCGGCGGACACCUCGACGCAUCGCUGGACAGCCGUGUGUGUGCAAGGUGCAUGGACGCAGGCGCCGCUGGCGAUGCUGAUGAAAAGCAACGACAUUUGUCCCUUGAUCCAGUGCAGUGCACGAAGAAUUGAAGAACGCAUGGACAGAGCCGCCGCUCCAAGCGUUGGCCGUUGGUCACUCCUGUGGACGCGCUGCCGGGAGCCCGCGGUCGCGCGUGGGUGCCGCCUUCCGCCGGGAACACCGCGUUGCCGCGGAAUAGCCGUCGAGGUGUGCGCGGCGCCAUGCGCUGCCUUUGCUAGCGCUGGAGCGCUGGCUUCCUUCGCCACGCAGGGCCGGAGGGCAUCGCGACGCUGCGCGCUCGCUGCCGGCAGUUUGGCCGUGAAAUCGCUCCGCCAGAGAGCGUGCUGAUAACGUGUUUUGAGCAGAGAACGAGAGACAAUCGACAAGGAUGUAAA
Aegilops tauschii subsp. strangulata is the source of this 1686-nucleotide long non-coding RNA. RefSeq lists it as uncharacterized. NCBI's taxonomy places the organism in Eukaryota, Viridiplantae, Streptophyta, Magnoliopsida, Poales, Poaceae. The record is from RefSeq and is a predicted model, not a curated record.